GCCUACAUGAAGUUGGAAUCGCUAGUAAUCGCGAAUCAGAAUGUCGCGGUGAAUACGUUCCCGGGUCUUGUACACACCGCCCGUCACACCACGAGAGUUUACAACACCCGAAGUCAGUGGCCUAACCGCAAGGAGGGAGCUGCCUAAGGUGGGGUAGAUGAUUGGGGUGAAGUCGUAACAAGGUAAC
This 187-nucleotide ribosomal RNA is filed under the name uncultured bacterium. RNAcentral's name for it is "partial 16S ribosomal RNA". It matches the Rfam family "Bacterial small subunit ribosomal RNA", at positions 1314 to 1500 of the family's 1533-position model. The record is from RNAcentral.